AUAUGUAAGAAACUUCAAUGAAAAAUAAUUCUAAUAUUUUUUUCUUCUUCUU
RNAcentral lists this small RNA (52 nucleotides) under Arabidopsis thaliana (thale cress). Its description in RNAcentral is "ATSL151140". Lineage: Eukaryota; Viridiplantae; Streptophyta; Magnoliopsida; Brassicales; Brassicaceae. The record is from RNAcentral.